UUUGAAYGCUUGACCUCAAAUCAGGUAGGACUACCC
RNAcentral lists this ribosomal RNA (36 nucleotides) under Agaricus masoalensis. Its description in RNAcentral is "partial 28S ribosomal RNA". The record is from RNAcentral. Lineage: Eukaryota; Fungi; Basidiomycota; Agaricomycetes; Agaricales; Agaricaceae.